AGCGAACGCUGGCGGCAGGCUUAACACAUGCAAGUCGAGCGGGCAUCCUUGUGGUGUCCGCGGCAGACGGGCGAGUAACGCGUGGGAACGUGCCCUUCGGUUCGGAAUAACUCAGGGAAACUUGAGCUAAUACCGGAUACGUGCGAGAGCAGAAAGGUUUAUCUGCCGAAGGAUCGGCCCGCGUCUGAUUAGCUAGUUGGUGAGGUUAUGGCUCACCAAGGCGACGAUCAGUAGCUGGUCUGAGAGGAUGAUCAGCCACACUGGGACUGAGACACGGCCCAGACUCCUACGGGAGGCAGCAGUGGGGAAUAUUGGACAAUGGGGGCAACCCUGAUCCAGCCAUGCCGCGUGAGUGAUGACGGCCUUAGGGUUGUAAAGCUCUUUUCUUCGGGACGAUAAUGACGGUACCGGAGGAAUAAGCCCCGGCUAACUUCGUG
This 437-nucleotide ribosomal RNA is filed under the name uncultured bacterium. RNAcentral describes it as "partial 16S ribosomal RNA". It matches the Rfam family "Bacterial small subunit ribosomal RNA", at positions 29 to 507 of the family's 1533-position model. The record is from RNAcentral.